UGGGGAAUUGUUCGCAAUGGGCGCAAGCCUGACGACGCAACGCCGCGUGGAGGAUGAAGAUUUUCGGAUCGUAAGCUCCUUUCGAUCGGGACGAAUCGGUCGCGACCUAACACGUCGUGGCACUGACGGUACCGAGAGAAGAAGCCCCGGCUAACUCCGUGCCAGCAGCCGCGGUAAUACGGGGGGGGCAAGCGUUGUUCGGAAUUACUGGGCGUAAAGGGCGCGUAGGCGGCCUACUAAGUCGGACGUGAAAUCCCUCGGCUCAACCGGGGAACUGCGUCCGAUACUGGUGGGCUUGAAUCCGGGAGAGGGAUGUGGAAUUCCAGGUGUAGCGGUGAAAUGCGUAGAUAUCUGGAGGAACACCGGUGGCGAAGGCGGCAUCCUGGACCGGUAUUGACGCUGAGGCGCGAAAGCCAGGGGAGCAAACGGGAUUAGAUACCCCGGUAGUCCUGGCCCUAAACGAUGAGUGCUUGGUGUGGCGGGUAUCGAUCCCUGCCGUGCCGAAGCUAACGCAUUAA
RNAcentral lists this ribosomal RNA (518 nucleotides) under uncultured Acidobacteriota bacterium. RNAcentral's name for it is "bacterial SSU rRNA". It matches the Rfam family "Bacterial small subunit ribosomal RNA", at positions 355 to 863 of the family's 1533-position model. Lineage: Bacteria; Pseudomonadati; Acidobacteriota. The record is from RNAcentral.